AUCCCAUGGUGAGGACAUUUACUUAAUAAUUCCUUGAAUGUAUCUCAAGCAUCAAACAAAGACUCAUCAUCUUCUUGUCUAAAUGAAUUAAUAUCAUUUCUCAUUUU
Molecule: small nucleolar RNA, 107 nt
Organism: Lathyrus oleraceus (garden pea)
Lineage: Eukaryota; Viridiplantae; Streptophyta; Magnoliopsida; Fabales; Fabaceae
Source: RefSeq, a predicted model, not a curated record